Molecule: ribosomal RNA, 320 nt
Filed under: uncultured Chloroflexota bacterium
Lineage: Bacteria; Bacillati; Chloroflexota
Description: bacterial SSU rRNA
Rfam family: Bacterial small subunit ribosomal RNA
Source: RNAcentral
GAUGAACGCUGGCGGCGUGCCUAAUACAUGCAAGUCGAACGGAGAGUAGCAAUACUCUUAGUGGCGAACGGGUGAGUAACGCGUUGGUGACCUGCCCCGAAGCGGGGGAUAACAGCUCGAAAGGGCUGAUAAUACCCCAUGUGCUCGGCCUCGUUAGAGAGGGCUGAGUAAAGGAUCCCAUAUUCACUUCGGGAGGGGCCUGCGUCCCAUCAGCUAGUUGGUAGGGUAAUGGCCUACCAAGGCGAUGACGGGUAGGGGACCUGAGAGGGUGGCCCCCCACAAUGGAACUGAAACACGGUCCAUACACCUACGGGAGGCAG